Molecule: ribosomal RNA, 468 nt
Filed under: uncultured bacterium
Lineage: Bacteria
Description: partial 16S ribosomal RNA
Rfam family: Bacterial small subunit ribosomal RNA
Source: RNAcentral
GACGAACGCUGGCGGCGUGCUUAACACAUGCAAGUCGAACGGAAAGGCCCUGCUUUUGUGGGGUGCUCGAGUGGCGAACGGGUGAGUAACACGUGAGUAACCUGCCCUUGACUUUGGGAUAACUUCAGGAAACUGGGACUAAUACCGGAUAGGAGCUCCUGCUGCAUGGUGGGGGUUGGAAAGUUUCGGCGGUUGGGGAUGGACUCGCGGCUUAUCAGCUUGUUGGUGGGGUAGUGGCUUACCAAGGCUUUGACGGGUAGCCGGCCUGAGAGGGUGACCGGCGACAUUGGGACUGAGAUACGGCCCAGACUCCUACGGGAGGCAGUAGUGGGGAAUAUUGCACAAUGGGCGGAAGCCUGAUGCAGCAACGCCGCGUGCGGGAUGACGGCCUUCGGGUUGUAAACCGCUUUCGCCUGUGACGAAGCGUGAGUGACGGUAAUGGGUAAAGAAGCACCGGCUAACUACGUG